Molossus molossus (Pallas's mastiff bat) is the source of this 129-nucleotide small nucleolar RNA. RefSeq annotates it as small nucleolar RNA SNORA11. The record is from RefSeq and is a predicted model, not a curated record. NCBI's taxonomy places the organism in Eukaryota, Metazoa, Chordata, Mammalia, Chiroptera, Molossidae. The transcript has a single exon.
GGGAUGUGAUGAGAGCAGGGUGCCUGAAGAAUGGCUCCUCUGUGUAUAACACAUCCAACAGGAAUGUAGGUUUACUCCUCACAGGUGGCAAGAUACUAUGACCUCCCUGUGACAUUACAACCUAUACAU